ACAUAUAAGCUUAGGAAGUAAUUCCGCAAUUUCGGUAAGCAGAGGUGAAAAAGGUUCACAGUCUACAAGGUGAAAAUGGUGGAAUUUGGAGUAAUUGAGGGGCUAAAGUGCAAAUUUGGCCUUCUCUGUGAAGAAGAGGUGAAAAAGGUUCACAGGGGUCGAACUCUAGCUAUACUAUUAUGAGUAUUGGAGCCCUCGUACUCAUAAGUUGUUUUCGAUGUUGGAGCUACCGAAUCGACGAUCCACUCCGUUAAAUAUGAUCUAGAGUAUUUGAAACUUCUAGAAAAUAAAUUUUGUAAAUUUUCGAAAUCAUAACAAAGUCCAUCAAGUGGGCAUAAAAUGAACGGUCGAAAUCGAACGACGUCCUUAAAAAGGAUGAUCGGAUUCUUCAAUUCAAGAUCAGAGUUAUUGAUCUUUAUCUAUGUAGUGAAUAGAAUUUGCUAUUAAAAAUUCAAUAAAUUCUGAUUCUUUUACACCGUUAAACUAGCAAGUAUCCCAAACCGGCCGUUAAAAAUUGUCAAAUUUGUGAUCUCUUGAUCGUAAGAUAAAUGAUGAAGAAAAAUUAUGAAAUUUAAUUUCUAGAAGUUUUAAAUGCUGUAAAUAACGUUUAACGGUGUGGAUCGUCGAUUCGGAAGCUCUAUAAUCAAAAACAACUUAUGAGUACGAGGACGAUCGUACUCAUAAUAGUACAGUAGCCGGACCCUAUAUAUAUAUAUAUAUAUAUAUAGAGAGAGAGAGAGAGAGAGAGAGAGAGAGAGAGAGAGAGAGAGAGAGUGGGCUGGUAUGCUUAUGGAAGCACGUAGGCCUCCGUGCUUCUAAGUUGUUUUCGAUGCUUGGACUUUCGAAUCGACGAUCGGCUCCGUUAGAGUUGAUCUAGAGUAUUUGAAGUACCUAGAAAAUAAAUUUUGCGAUUUUUCAAUAUCAUUUGCCUAGUGAUCAAAGGGGCUCAAAAUCAAUAAUUUUAACGGCCGUGGUGAGCCGGUUGCAAGUUUAACGGUGUAGAAAUAUCCAAAUCACAUGAAAUUUUGAUAGAAAAUUCUUUAUACCAUAUAAAUCAAGAUCAAUAACUUUGAUCUAAAAUUUUAAUAUCAUAUCAUCAUAUUUUGUAAGAUUUUUAUUUUCAGCCGUUGAUUUUGAGCCACUUCGAUCACUAGGCAAAUGAUAUCGAAAAAUCGCAAAAUUUAUUUUCUAGAUACUUCAAAUACUCUAGAUCAAACUCUAACGGAGCGAUCGCUGAUCGAAAGUCCGAACAUCGAAAAUAAAAGUGAACAGCGGAGCCCUCUGUGCUUCCAUAUCAUUUGCUAGUGAUCGGAAUCGAGUUCAAAAUAACAAAUUUCCAUGACGUAGUGAGCCGUUUGCAAGUUUAACGGUGUAGAAAUAUUCAAAUCACGUGAAAUUUUAAUAAAAAAUUCUUUAUACUAUAUAAAACAAGAUCAAUAUCUUUGAUUUAAAAUUUUAAUAUCAUAUUGCUACAUUUUGUAAGAUUUUUAUUUUCAACCGUUGAUUUUGAGCCCCUUCGUUCACUAGGCAAAUGAUAUCGUAAAAUCAUAAAAUUUAUUUUCUAGGUACUUCAAAUGCUUUAGAUUAAGUUUAACGGAGCCGAUCGACGAUUCGAAAGUCGCAACAUCGAAAACGAGCUCGAAGCACGGAAGGCUCCGUGCUUCCGAUAGCAUAGUAGCCUCACUCAUAUAUAUAUAUAUAUAUCGAGUCCGGCUACUAUACUUUUAUGAGUAUUGGCUCCCUUAUACUCAUAAGUUUUUUGCCCAUAGAUUUAUUCCAUUAAUCAUUUCCACCCGUUGGAUCAUACUAUUCAACCAACUAUCCAUUAACCCUAGGGGAUCACUAUCAUUCUAAGUGGGGACCAUCAUCAUCCUAACCACACAUCCCAUUAAUCAAUGGUUAAAAAUUUAUGAGUAUAAUGGGGUCUAUACUCAUAAGAGUAUAGUAGCCCCAGCCUAUAUAUAUCUAUAUAUGUACUUUCCCAUCCUUUUCUUUUGCGCUCUCUCUCUCUCUCUCUCUCUAUAUAAU
RNAcentral lists this long non-coding RNA (2028 nucleotides) under Ananas comosus (pineapple). RNAcentral describes it as "long non-coding RNA (ACOM_LNC024062)". The record is from RNAcentral. Lineage: Eukaryota; Viridiplantae; Streptophyta; Magnoliopsida; Poales; Bromeliaceae.